This 459-nucleotide ribosomal RNA is filed under the name uncultured bacterium. Its description in RNAcentral is "bacterial SSU rRNA". It matches the Rfam family "Bacterial small subunit ribosomal RNA", at positions 31 to 507 of the family's 1533-position model. The record is from RNAcentral.
GAACGCUGGCGGCGUGCAUAACACAUUCAAGUCGAACGGUGAUGAGGACUUCGGUCCUCUGAUCAGUGGCGGACGGGUGAGUAACGCGUGAGCAACCUGCCUCAUACUCAGGGAUAACACAGGGAAACUUGUGCUAAUACCGGAUAACACAUACCGAUUGCAUGGUUGGUAUGUCAAAGCUCCGGCGGUGUGAGAUGGGCUCGCGUAUGAUUAGAUAGUUGGCAGGGUAACGGCCUACCAAGUCUGCGAUCUGUAGCUGGUCUGAGAGGACGAUCAGCCACAUUGGAACUGAGACACGGUCCAGACUCCUACGGGAGGCAGCAGUGAGGAAUAUUGGGCAAUGGGGGCAACCCUGACCCAGCCAUGCCGCGUGAGUGAAGAAGGUUUUCGAAUUGUAAAGCUCUUUCGGAUGUGAAGAUGAUGACGGUAGCAUCUAAAGAAGCCCCGGCAAACUUCGUG